AUUGAACGCUGGCGGCAUGCCUUACACAUGCAAGUCGAACGGCAGCGCGGGGCAACCUGGCGGCGAGUGGCGAACGGGUGAGUAAUAUAUCGGAACGUACCCUGGAGUGGGGGAUAACGUAGCGAAAGUUACGCUAAUACCGCAUACGAUCUAAGGAUGAAAGUGGGGGAUUCGCAAGAACCUCAUGCUCCUGGAGCGGCCGAUAUCUGAUUAGCUAGUUGGUGGGGUAAAGCCUACCAAGGCAUCGAUCAGUAGCUGGUCUGAGAGGACGACCAGCCACACUGGAACUGAGACACGGUCCAGACUCCGUACGGGAGCAGCGAGUGGGGUAAUUUUCGGACAAGU
Molecule: ribosomal RNA, 345 nt
Filed under: uncultured soil bacterium
Lineage: Bacteria
Description: bacterial SSU rRNA
Rfam family: Bacterial small subunit ribosomal RNA
Source: RNAcentral